GACGAACGCUGGCGGCGUGCUUAACACAUGCAAGUCGAACGGAAAGGCCCUUCUUGCAGGGUACUCGAGUGGCGAACGGGUGAUUAACACGUGGGUGAUCUGCCCUGUACUUCGGGAUAAGCCUGGGAAACUGGGUCUAAUACCGGAUAGGAGCCAUUUUUAGUGUGAUGGUUGGAAAGUUUUUUCGGUGUAGGAUGAGCUCGCGGCCUAUCAGCUUGUUUGUUGGGUAAUGGCCUACCAAGGCGGCGACGGGUAGCCGGCCUGAGAGGGUGGACGGCCACAUUGGGACUGAGAUAAGGCCCAGACUCCUACGGGAGGAAGCAGUGGGGAAUAUUGCACAAUGGGCGCAAGCCUGAUGCAGCGACGCCGCGUGGGGGAUGACGGCCUUCGGGUUGUAAACUCCUUUCGCUAGGGACGAAGCUUUUUGUGACGGUACCUAGAUAAGAAGCACCGGCUAACUACGUG
This 465-nucleotide ribosomal RNA is filed under the name uncultured bacterium. RNAcentral's name for it is "partial 16S ribosomal RNA". It matches the Rfam family "Bacterial small subunit ribosomal RNA", at positions 28 to 507 of the family's 1533-position model. The record is from RNAcentral.